This is a long non-coding RNA of Hyla sarda, 586 nucleotides long. RefSeq lists it as uncharacterized. The transcript has 3 exons. NCBI's taxonomy places the organism in Eukaryota, Metazoa, Chordata, Amphibia, Anura, Hylidae. The record is from RefSeq and is a predicted model, not a curated record.
UCCCUUUAACACACAAAAAAAAAAAGAAGAGUGAAGAAACAAAGACAUAACCUAGAGCGCCUGACAGUGACGGAUGGAGUUGGGGGGUGGGACCCUCGUCCAUCGACUCCCUUCAUCCCCCUGAUGACGCCCGCAGCGGCCUGUACUCCUAUCAGGAGGAGAAGGGGAGCAAUGGCGGAGUUCAUCCACGGAGGAGACCUCUGGCGGGAUGAUUAUUAUUGUGAAUCAUCAUCAUAAGGAAGAUAAUCGGUGUAAUAGUCUAUGAGCCAGAACAUUAAGACCGCGACAGGUGAAGUGAUAACUUGGAUUAUCUGGUGACGAUGGCGCCCGGGAUAUAUUAGGCAACAAGUGAACAGUCAGUCCCUGAAGUGCGAAAAUAAGCAAUCGUUCUGCCUCAUCAGGUGGCUGGCAGCGGUCGAUGUAAUGCGGCACUUGUAACCUACACAGUACAACACUAUGACUGCGCAGAUGACACCGGCAUGUGGCGUGGAGGACACCUGUGGAGAAUCUGCAUGCCUCUCAGCUAUGGAAAAAUAAUAAAAAAGAAUAUGUAAAAUCCCCAAUAAUACUGUGAAUAAAUGCAGCU